CGGCAUAGCUCAGCUGGUAGAGCAGUUGAUUUGUAAUCAUCAGGUCGGGAGUUCGAAUCCCUCUGCCGGC
This 70-nucleotide transfer RNA is filed under the name human gut metagenome. It matches the Rfam family "tRNA". From Rfam's summary of the family: Transfer RNA (tRNA) molecules are approximately 80 nucleotides in length. The record is from RNAcentral.